This 326-nucleotide ribosomal RNA is filed under the name uncultured eukaryote. RNAcentral describes it as "partial 18S ribosomal RNA". It matches the Rfam family "Eukaryotic small subunit ribosomal RNA", at positions 1470 to 1796 of the family's 1831-position model. The record is from RNAcentral.
CCCUUAGAUGUCCUGGGCCGCACGCGCGCUACACUGAUGCAUUCAACGAGUUUUACCUUGGCCGAGAGGCCUGGGCAAUCUUUUAAACCUGCAUCGUGAUAGGGAUAGAUUAUUGCAAUUAUUAAUCUUGAACGAGGAAUUCCUAGUAAACGCAGAUCAUCAAUCUGCAUUGAUUACGUCCCUGCCCUUUGUACACACCGCCCGUCGCACCUACCGAUUGAGUGGUCCGGUGAGGCUUUGGGAUCUAAGCGAAAAGAGCGUUUCGCUCCUUUUGCUAGGAGAACUCAGUCGAACCUUAUCAUUUAGAGGAAGGAGAAGUCGUAACA